This 1245-nucleotide ribosomal RNA is filed under the name metagenome. RNAcentral's name for it is "bacterial LSU rRNA". It matches the Rfam family "Bacterial large subunit ribosomal RNA", at positions 1564 to 2818 of the family's 2925-position model. The record is from RNAcentral.
UGAAUACGAGAUGCUACGGCGUCGAAGCAGUGUAUGUCAGACUUCCAAGAAAAGCUCGCAAUGUCAUAAAUAAAGAAUGCCUGUACCAUAACCGACACAGGUGGGUAGGUAGAGUAUACUAAGGGGCGCGAGAUAACUCUCUCUAAGGAACUCGGCAAAAUAACUCCGUAACUUCGGGAGAAGGAGUGCCUUCUUUAAGAAGGUUGCAAUAACAAGAUCCAAGCAACUGUUUAUCAAAAACACAGGUCUCCGCUAAGUCGUAAGACGAUGUAUGGGGGCUGACGCCUGCCCAGUGCCAGAAGGUUAAAGAAGCUGGUUAGCAAUAGCGAAGCUGGUGACUGAAGCCCUGGUGAACGGCGGCCGUAACAAUAACGGUCCUAAGGUAGCGAAAUUCCUUGUCGGGUAAGUUCCGACCCUCACGAAAGGCGUAAUGAUUUGGAUACUGUCUCGGAGAGGGACUCGGUGAAAUAGACUUGUCUGUGAAGAUGCGGACUACCUGCACCAGGACAGAAAGACCCUAUGAAGCUUUACUGUAACCUGAAAUUGAAAUUGGACUUUAUUUGCGCAGUAUAGGUGGGAGGCGUUGAAAGUAAUCUUGCGUGAUUAAUGGAGCCAUCAGUGAGAUACCACUCCUAUAAUGUUAGAUUUCUAACUUUGGAUCAUGAUCUGGUCAAAGAACAGUUUCAGGCGGGCAGUUUGACUGGGGCGGUCGCCUCCCAAAUGGUAACGGAGGCGUACAAAGGUUUCCUCUGAACGGGUAGAAAUCGUAUCUAGAGUAUAAAGGCAUAAGGAAGCUUGACUGUGAGACCUACAAGUCGAGCAGGGACGAAAGUCGGUCUUAGUGAUCUGACGGUGCUGAGUGGAAAGGCCGUCACUCAACGGAUAAAAGUUACUCUAGGAUAACAGGCUGAUCUCCCCCAAGAGUUCACAUCGACGGGGAGGUUUGGCACCUCGAUGUCGGCUCAUCGCAUCCUGGGGUGGUAGUACGUCCCAAGGGUUGGGCUGUUCGCCCAUGAAAGCGGUACGCGAGCUGGGUUCAGAACGUCGUGAGACAGUUCGGUCCAUAUCCGGUGUAGGCGUUAGAAUAUUGAGAGGAGCCUUCUCUAGUACGAGAGGACCGAGAAGGACAUACCUCUGGUGUACCAGUUAUCGUGCCAACGGUAAACGCUGGGUAGCUAUGUAUGGAGAGGAUAACCGCUGAAAGCAUCUAAGUGGGAAGCCCACCUCAAGAUGAGUAUUCUCAUC